CAAGGGGCUGUGUGCGACAGAACCCUGUGAACCCCGCCAGGUCCGGAAGGAAGCAACGGUAAGCGGUCAGUUCUGUGUGCCGCAGGAUCACCUGGCCCC
Molecule: signal recognition particle RNA, 99 nt
Filed under: Nitrospira sp.
Lineage: Bacteria; Pseudomonadati; Nitrospirota; Nitrospiria; Nitrospirales; Nitrospiraceae
Description: signal recognition particle sRNA small type
Rfam family: Bacterial small signal recognition particle RNA
About the family: The signal recognition particle (SRP) is a universally conserved ribonucleoprotein involved in the co-translational targeting of proteins to membranes.
Source: RNAcentral